GUCUACAGCCAUGCCCCUUGAACAAGCCCAAUCCCUUCUGAUCUCGGAAGCUAAGCAGGGUCGGGCCUGGUUAGUACUUGGAUGGGAGACCACCUAGGAAGACCAGCUGCUGUAGGCG
Molecule: ribosomal RNA, 118 nt
Filed under: Pteropus alecto (black flying fox)
Lineage: Eukaryota; Metazoa; Chordata; Mammalia; Chiroptera; Pteropodidae
Source: RNAcentral